GACGAACGCUGGCGGCGUGCCUAAUACAUGCAAGUCGAGCGCUGACGGUUGGUACUUGUACCGCCUGGAUGAGCCGCGAACGGAUGAGUAACGCGUGGGGAAUCUGCCUUUGAGCGGGGGACAACAUUCGGAAACGAAUGCUCAUACCGCAUAAAAACUUUAAACACAAGUUUUAAGUUUGAAAGAUGCAAUUGCAGCACUCAAAGAUGAUCCCGCGUUGUAUUAGCUAGUUGGUGAGGUAAAGGCUCACCAAGGCGAUGAUACAUAGCCGGCCUGGGGGGGUGGACGAGCAACAUGGGAAUGGGGCAAGGCCCAAACUCCUAACGGGAGGAAGAGGAGGGGAUCUUCGGAAAUGGACGGAAGUCUUACCGAAGCAAGCCGGGGGGGUGAAGGAGGGUUUCGGAUCGGAAAACUCUGUUGGUAGGGAAGGACGUUAGUGAGAGUGAAAAGCUCAGCAAGUGACGGUAACUAAACAGAAAGCGACGGCUAACUACGUG
RNAcentral lists this ribosomal RNA (497 nucleotides) under uncultured bacterium. RNAcentral's name for it is "partial 16S ribosomal RNA". It matches the Rfam family "Bacterial small subunit ribosomal RNA", at positions 28 to 507 of the family's 1533-position model. The record is from RNAcentral.